UACGUAGGGCGCAAGCGUUGUCCGGAAUUAUUGGGCGUACAGAGCUCGUAGGCGGUUUGUCGCGUCUGCUGUGAAAACCUAAGGCUCAACCUUGGGCUUGCAGUGGGUACGGGCAGACUAGAGUGCGGUAGGGGUGACUGGAAUUCCUGGUGUAGCGGUGGAAUGCGCAGAUAUCAGGAGGAACACCGAUGGCGAAGGCAGGUCAGUGGGCCGCAACUGACGCUGAGGAGCGAAAGCAUGGGGAGCGAACAGG
Molecule: ribosomal RNA, 253 nt
Filed under: uncultured bacterium
Lineage: Bacteria
Description: partial 16S ribosomal RNA
Rfam family: Bacterial small subunit ribosomal RNA
Source: RNAcentral